Molecule: ribosomal RNA, 467 nt
Filed under: Apanteles sp. Rodriguez86
Lineage: Eukaryota; Metazoa; Arthropoda; Insecta; Hymenoptera; Braconidae
Description: partial 28S ribosomal RNA
Source: RNAcentral
AAACCGUUCAGGGGUAAACCUGUGAAACCCAAAAGAUCGAAUGAGGAGAUUCAUCGUCAGCGUAUUUAGUAUUAAUGCAGGCUAUGAUGUGAUAAUAGAAUCCUCGUGGUCACUAGAUUAUACUUGCUUGUAUUAUUUUUGCUGGGUAUGUCGGCGUGCACUUCUCCUCUAGUAGAACGUCGCAACCCGUUGGAUGUUUAUCUAUGGUCUAAUAGGUAGCCUUUGAUAUUUAUUAUAUUGGAGACCUUUUGGUGUCCUGAUAAACUGUCUGACGGUAUACAUNAUAGUAUAGAGCCGCAAUUAUUUGCGUUAGACUUGCCGCAAGUAAAGCUUUCGUUUGGUAGUGCGGAUUUAAUGCCGUCGCUGGNACAAAGUUUGCUGUUAGUUGGUAAUGUCUUUAACUGGCUUAUUUACUGGUUAGCGAUGCUACUGCUUUGGGUACUUACAGGACCCGUCUUGAAACACGG